CCUACGGGUGGCUGCAGUGGGGAAUUUUGGACAAUGGGGGCAACCCUGAUCCAGCCAUUCCGCGUGAGUGAAGAAGGCCUUCGGGUUGUAAAGCUCUUUCAGCAGGAACGAAACGGUGGCCCCUAAUACGGGCUACUAAUGACGGUACCUGAAGAAGAAGCACCGGCUAACUACGUGCCAGCAGCCGCGGUAAUACGUAGGGUGCGAGCGUGAAUCGGAAUUACUGGGGGUAAAGCGUGCGCAGGGGUGUGAAAUCCCCGGGCUUAACCUGGGAACUGCGUUUGUGACUGUGGGACUCGAGUGUGGCAGAGGGGGGUGGAAUUCCACGUGUAGCAGUGAAAUGCGUAGAGAUGUGGAGGAACACCGAUGGCGAAGGCAGCCCCCUGGGUCAACACUGACGCUCAUGCACGAAAGCGUGGGGAGCAAACAGGAUUAGAUACCCCUGUAGUC
This 450-nucleotide ribosomal RNA is filed under the name uncultured bacterium. RNAcentral's name for it is "partial 16S ribosomal RNA". It matches the Rfam family "Bacterial small subunit ribosomal RNA", at positions 338 to 795 of the family's 1533-position model. The record is from RNAcentral.